This 253-nucleotide ribosomal RNA is filed under the name uncultured bacterium. Its description in RNAcentral is "partial 16S ribosomal RNA". It matches the Rfam family "Bacterial small subunit ribosomal RNA", at positions 524 to 776 of the family's 1533-position model. The record is from RNAcentral.
UACAGAGGGUGCGAGCGUUAAUCGGAAUUACUGGGCGUAAAGCGUGCGCAGGCGGUUUGUUAAGACAGAUGUGAAAUCCCCGGGCUUAACCUGGGAACUGCGUUUGUAACUGGCAAGCUAGAGUGUGGCAGAGGGGGGUGGAAUUCCACGUGUAGCAGUGAAAUGCGUAGAGAUGUGGAGGAACACCGAUGGCGAAGGCAGCCCCCUGGGCUAACACUGACGCUCAUGCACGAAAGCGUGGGGAGCAAACAGG